CCAAAUUUUCCAACACUUUAUGAUAAUGUCCAUUUUCAGACUCCAGCCCCAGAGAGUCUGAUUCAGAAUGUUGGUGAAGCCUCAGAAUCGUUAUUUUGCAGCUUUCAGAGGAAAGGGGAAAGAAAAGGAGGUAGAAGAAGUAAAGACUCUCUCCCACCUUGAUCUUGGGAUCCCUACUGAGGAAGUGGAAGACAAUGAGGCAGGAGGGUGGCCUCAGAGUCAAGUACGGGCUUUGCAAUCAGACAGAUCUGAAUUUAAAUCCCAGCUCCACCAUUCAAUUACUGUUAUCACCUUGAGCUCAGUUCCAUGUCUGUAGAGAUAAUACUUAACCUUCAGAACUGUAGUAAACAUUCAAUGAAAU
This is a long non-coding RNA of Sapajus apella (tufted capuchin), 361 nucleotides long. RefSeq lists it as uncharacterized. The record is from RefSeq and is a predicted model, not a curated record. The transcript has 2 exons. NCBI's taxonomy places the organism in Eukaryota, Metazoa, Chordata, Mammalia, Primates, Cebidae.